Molecule: non-coding RNA, 47 nt
Organism: Branchiostoma floridae (Florida lancelet)
Lineage: Eukaryota; Metazoa; Chordata; Leptocardii; Amphioxiformes; Branchiostomatidae
Source: Rfam
AAACCGGCCCUUUUCAGGGCCACCACUUCCUCUCAAAAGAGCUAUGU